UAGAGUUUGAUCCUGGCUCANANUCNACGCUGGCGGCGUGCCUCAGACAUGCAAGUCGAACGCGAAAGCCCCCUUCGGGGGGCAAGUAGAGUGGCGCACGGGUGAGUAACACGUAGGUAAUCUACCUUUGGAUGGGGAAUAACCACCGGAAACGGUGGCUAAUACCGCAUAAUGCAGCGGCACCUAAUGGUGACAGUUGUUAAAGCGGGGGAUCGUAAGACCUCGCGUCUGAAGAGGAGCCUGCGGCAGAUUAGCUAGUUGGUAAGGUAACGGCUUACCAAGGCGAUGAUCUGUAGCCGGCCUGAGAGGGCGGUCGGCCACACUGACACUGACAUACGGGUCAGACUCCUACGGGAGGCAGCAGUCGGGAAUUUUGGGCAAUGGGCGAAAGCCUGACCCAGCAACGCCGCGUGAAGGAUGAAAUCCCUCGGGAUGUAACUUCGCAAGAACAGGAAGAAUAAGUGAGAGCUAACAUCUCUUACGAUGACGGUACUGUUUGUAAGCUCCGGCUAACUCCGUGCCAGCAGCCGCGGUAAUACGGGGGGAGCAAGCGUUGUUCGGAUUUACUGGGCGUAAAGGGCGCGUAGGCGGCCACCGCAAGUCGACUGUGAAAUCUCCGGGCUUAACUCGGAAAGGUCAGCCGAUACUGCGGGGCUAGAGUGCAGAAGGGGCAACUGGAAUUCUCGGUGUAGCGGUGAAAUGCGUAGAUAUCGAGAGGAACACCUGCGGCGAANGCGGGUUGCUGGGCUGACACUGACGCUGANGCGCGAAAGCUAGGGGAGCGAACGGGAUUAGAUACCCCGGUAGUCCUAGCCUUAAACGAUGAAUGCUUGGUGUCUGGGGUUUUAUAGUCCCCGGGNGCCGUCGCUAACGCUUUNAGCAUUNCGCCUGGGGAGUANGGUCGCANACUGANNUCNANNGNANUGANGGGGACCCG
RNAcentral lists this ribosomal RNA (937 nucleotides) under uncultured bacterium. Its description in RNAcentral is "bacterial SSU rRNA". It matches the Rfam family "Bacterial small subunit ribosomal RNA", at positions 1 to 923 of the family's 1533-position model. The record is from RNAcentral.